Molecule: long non-coding RNA, 205 nt
Filed under: Lonchura striata (white-rumped munia)
Lineage: Eukaryota; Metazoa; Chordata; Aves; Passeriformes; Estrildidae
Description: domestica (Bengalese finch) lncRNA (ENSLSDG00000006587.1)
Source: RNAcentral
GCGCUGCUGCGUACACGCGGUUAUGUAUAUAUAAUAGAUAGUCGUCUAUGUAUGUAUAUGCAUGGAGCUUUAUGGAUAUCUGGCAUCUCCUCUCCUCUGUGAAAGGUAAUGAAUGCAUCUCAGCACUGCAGGAGCUCUGCUCUGCUGGGCCCAGCACUGGGAUCCUGCUUGGAGGCAAACCAACAACUCAUCCAAACCCCGAGGA